Molecule: long non-coding RNA, 1041 nt
Filed under: Felis catus (domestic cat)
Lineage: Eukaryota; Metazoa; Chordata; Mammalia; Carnivora; Felidae
Description: lncRNA (ENSFCAG00000045493.2)
Source: RNAcentral
CACUAGCCCUCGGGAAGUGUCAGGGGAUGUGACUGGGCGUCCAGGCCAACCAAGUACCGCCCCCGCGGGCUGCCCUCCAGGAAGGAGGAGGAGGGACAGGGCAACAACAGGGCUCUGCCCCUCCUCCCGCCCAGCACCCCAGCGGCCCAGCUCCAGCCUGCCGGGAGCCCCUAUCUGGAAGAAAAUCACGGCUCCACAGCGAACCCAAGGUGAGGAAAAAACUCAUCGGCGUGGGUGGGCAAUGCCCCUCACCCUCCCUGACAUCCCCAUUGGUCUUGGCUCCUUCGUAGCUGAAGCAUCCGUCCAGGGCUAACGAUGUCUUAUGCAAGGACAUGGAAGUGACCGGAUGGGUGCCUUGCAGUGAGCGGAGAAUGCUGCCAGCAGUGUGGAGAGAACAGGAAGGAAGAGGGAACUGUUUCCCCGCCCCUUCCCUCAAAGGACGCCAGGGGUCUGCUCUUCCACGAGCUCGAGACAUCCAUUCCUCUUGUGUGGAAGGAACCAGAAUCAGAAUCAGGAGAGGAACAAACAAACUGAAGGCGGCUGUCAGCACAGUGAUUGAUGACGCGGCCAACCCGGCUUCUGUGGCUCUCGAUGUCCCGACGCUUGUUACAACCAGGCAAAGCCGCGCUGGACCAAGCACCUGUCACUCCGGCGACUGCACCACCCGGCCACCCUCCCCUUCGUCCGAGUGAACUUUCAGCGGAGAAGUAAACGGGGGCGGGGGGCCCACGUUACUGAGGCCUGAUGACAUUCCGUUCGGGUUAGUUCCAUAAUGAGGUCAAAGUCCUGCCAAACAGUGUCCUUAAGUGGCAGAGUGUGGAGAGGCCACGGCAGACGUGCGUGUGCGGGAGGGAACCAGGCAGGCGGGAGCCCGGGCUCCGUCUGUGUGGGUUUGCUGCCGAGACACGUGCGUCUGUGCCGUGCGUGUGCGUGUGUGACCGCGCGUGCCUGCGGGUGCACCGAGGGCCGCUCGGGUCCCGGGCGCGCAGGGAGGCGCCUCGGGGAGAGUGACAGACAGAGCAUUAAGGCAGACCUCGCGGG